GACGGACGCUGGCGGCGCGCUUAACACAUGCAAGUCGAACGGAAAGGCCUGCUUUCCCUUGUGGAUUGCGGGUACUCGAGUGGCGAACGGGUGAGUAACACGUGAGUGAUCUGCCCCCAACUUGGGUAUAAGCCUGGGAAACUGGGUCUAAUUCCCGAUAGGACUGCAGGGUGGUGCCUGUGGUGGAAAACGAUUUUCUAGUGGUUGGGGAUGAGCUCGCGGCCUAUCAGCUUGUUGGUGGGGUAAUGGCCUACCAAGGCGGCGACGGGUAGCCGGCCUGAGGAGGUGUACGUGGUCUGUGGGGAUGAGCAGCCGCCCUGGGACUUACACAAGGCAGCGGCGGGGAAGAGAGGCAGAAGGGGGGAAGCCUGGAGCAGGGGGGCAACGUUGGGGAUGACGGGCUGCGGGUGGUAUGCAGCUUUCAGGGGCGUAGAGGCCUCCCAGCUGGGAGGGUGGUGACGGUAGCGGCAGAAGAAGCACCGGCUAACUACGUG
This 494-nucleotide ribosomal RNA is filed under the name uncultured bacterium. Its description in RNAcentral is "partial 16S ribosomal RNA". It matches the Rfam family "Bacterial small subunit ribosomal RNA", at positions 28 to 507 of the family's 1533-position model. The record is from RNAcentral.